Long non-coding RNA from Salvia splendens (bonfire salvia), 945 nucleotides. RefSeq lists it as uncharacterized. The record is from RefSeq and is a predicted model, not a curated record. Lineage: Eukaryota; Viridiplantae; Streptophyta; Magnoliopsida; Lamiales; Lamiaceae. The transcript is spliced from 3 exons.
AACCGUAUGCGCCGCUCCAUCUAAACCCUAACCUAACCGGUGCCAAAAUUUUCUUCUCCGACGCGACCAAAGACCUACAAAGCUCGUUUCAGAACACGAUGAAAUCUACAUAUCCACCAAAAUCAAACACCUGCACGUCUCAAAGAGAUCGACCUAAUGAAAUCCUGAAAACCCUAGAACAAAUCUGCUGAAAUUCACGCCGGGGAUGAAUCGGCCGAAAAAGUAGAUUAACAAUGGAAUCUGGCCAGCCACAAAGUGGAAAUCGGAAGAACAACAAACCCUAGUUGUAAAAGAUUUGAUUACUCAAUUGGCAAGAAACGAAACUGAGAGGUAAUUUGUUUGCAAAUCUACCGGAAGAGAUUACGGUAGAGAUCUUACGAAGACUCACCAUUAGGAGCGUUAUGACGUGCAUGUGUGUUCUUAAAUCGUGGCCCAUCUAAUUGAGGGGGAUGACUUUGGGAUGAGGAAAAGUCUAUGAACUGCAAAAGACAUUUUUGAAAGUAUAGCUACGAUAAAUGUGUGUCACUAUGAAUAGGUCCUAAACAGAUAGUCAUCUAGACGUACCUAAGUCAAAGUAACGCAGCUUACCCAAACCUCCAUACUCCAUCGGAGAUGCUCCCCAAUAAAAUAGUGUCUCAACAGUUCUCCAAUGCCUAUGCCCUCCGAGUCUAUAAUAGUCAGCUUCUGAAUUGUUUUAGGUGCUUCCAAGCGGGGUCUAACUUUCUACAAUAAAUUACAUUUACUUAAUAAGAUAACAUGCAAAAUGCUAAAGUGAUUUUUAAGUUGAAACUUAAGAAAACAAACCGUCCACAAUUGAAUAAACAUCGGACUAGGGUUGCACAUAUAAGCUGUCGCUAGUCUCUCGGGAUAAUUGUUUAGCAGCACGUUGAUGGAUUCAAACAUGUGGUGGCACUCGUAUCGGUAAUGAGCAUUUCGUGAGAUCAA